GACGAACGCUGGCGGCGUGCUUAACACAUGCAAGUCGAACGAAGAGCGAUGGAAGCUUGCUUCUCUCAAUCUUAGUGGCGCACGGGUGAGUAACGCGUAAUCAACCUGCCCUUCAGAGGGGGACAACAGUUGGAAACGACUGCUAAUACCGCAUACGAUCUAAUCUCGGCAUCGAGGAUAGAUGAAAGGUGGCCCCUACAUGUAAGCUAUCACUGAAGGAGGGGAUUGCGUCUGAUUAGCUAGUUGGAGGGGUAACGGCCCACCAAGGCGAUGAUCAGUAGCCGGUCUGAGAGGAUGAACGGCCACAUUGGGACUGAGACACGGCCCAGACUCCUACGGGAGGCAGCAGUGGGGAAUCUUCCGCAAUGGACGAAAGUCUGACGGAGCAACGCCGCGUGAGUGAUGACGGCCUUCGGGUUGUAAAGCUCUGUUAAUCGGGACGAAAGGCCUUCUUGCGAAUAGUGAGAAGGAUUGACGGUACCGGAAUAGAAAGCCACGGCUAACUACGUG
This 510-nucleotide ribosomal RNA is filed under the name uncultured bacterium. RNAcentral describes it as "partial 16S ribosomal RNA". It matches the Rfam family "Bacterial small subunit ribosomal RNA", at positions 28 to 507 of the family's 1533-position model. The record is from RNAcentral.